CUGGAAUUAUCAAGGUCUCGGAAAGUAUUAUCUAACAAAGUAUUAUCUCAUCCAAAAAUACUAAAUUGUUUAUCAAUAUAACUAAAGUAUAGUACCUCAACAAUUUUCUCACACUGAGUUCCCUUGCCUGCACCAGGUCCACCGAGAACGAACGCUACUAGCGGCUUUUUUGUCGACAUGACAGCCCUCCAAACGCUUCUAUACACUUUGCAAAUAUCUCAAUGUUACUAAAUUAACAAUACACGGUGAGAAAAUGGGCAAAACACAACAAUUUACAGUCAACUUUUGACAACACACUUUCACACAUCGCACAUGAAUAAAAUUAAAGUUGCCAACUUGACAAAGU
This is a non-coding RNA of Paramuricea clavata, 346 nucleotides long. NCBI's taxonomy places the organism in Eukaryota, Metazoa, Cnidaria, Anthozoa, Malacalcyonacea, Plexauridae. The record is from the annotation of a GenBank genome assembly.